AAAAGAUCUGCAUGACUAACUGGAGAGUCUCAUCUCGCAAUAAUGUGCCUUUUGUUGCUGAACCCUCUCCAAUCACACAGUGCUCAGAGAGGAUUUGUUCUAUCUGAAAUCUGCUCAUUCAGUGGAACAACUACAGAAGCAGCAUCCCUGGAAAGUGUGACAGCCAUGAAAUUGAUGGAAAGUGUGACAGCCAUGAAAUAAUUAUCUGCCUUACCAGACACAGAUGGCAUUGAGGAUGUGGUGAUUCCUCUGACUGAAGAGCAGGUUGGAGGAAAGCUGUCCAGGGGGAAUAAUCAGCUGCUGCUGCACUCUAUCCCAGCACGUAUCUUUCCAAGAAGGUUUAGAGGAUGUAAAGGUCAACCCCAAAUCCUCAGUUCAGCAGGACAAACAUUCAAAACUUUAAGCAUUCUUACAAGUGAAUCUGAUGUGAAUGCACAGAACCAUAGUAAAUAAGACUGGAAAAGAUCCCUAGAGGCUAUUUAGUUCAUGCUAUUUAGUUGUUUCAAGUACCCCAGGACUUCAAAGAGAAAUUCUCCAUACCGUACUUAGUACUAACAGCAUGCUUUGGGGAGCUGUUUUGUAGCAGCUGACAAUAGAUAAUAACUUGUUCUAGGUGAGUUGCAAGUUGUCCAGAAUACGACUAUGAGCACAGCCAUCAGAAAUAAAAAAAUACAACUACACCAGAGAAGCCUGUAUCUUUGGAUCAGAGAAUCAUAAAAUGGUAUGGGUUGGAAGGGACCUUAAGGAUCAUCAAGUUUCAACCCUCUUGAUUCCAUAAAGAUAGCCUUGGUUUAUUGUGAAAAAUUGCUUGCUUAACUGGCAUGUCUGCAAACUCUCAGAAAGCAAAGAAGCCAGACUGGGAGAAUCCUUCUUGUAUGUGACUCUCAGAGGUACAGAUCCCACCAGUCUUGCUAAAUCCCCUUUUACUGUUACAGUAUGUCUGCACAUGAUAGUCACGUAAAUUUUUUGCCAAUUUCUAAACUUUGUGGGAGGUGGACUCCAUGGUCACCACCAUCCCUGCUCCCCACUCCCCGCAGCUUCUCAAUCUGAGUGCCUUCAUAUUCAAACUGGCAGACUGUGGCAUUCAUCACAGUUUUUUCCUCUGCAAAAGAAAGAGCACCAGAGGCAAAACUUGGGCUAGGACACAGCUAGGGAAUGCACCAGGCCCAAGGAGCUGGAUAGCCUAAAUUAUGUGUACUUUCCUGGGACAUACCAUCUGGGGAUCCCAUCUGCGUGUCACCUGUCACAGAUAUUGAUGGACUCUUGGAAACUUUGAGGGUUUGUGGAAAAAAAGAGUCAGGCAAGAGUUUAGCUCAAAGGCAUUAAAAGCACAGCCUAGGUAUCACCUGUCACAACAUUUAUGAACUCCACAUAAGCCAGCUUUGAAAAAUAAACCUUUUUCUUUUGCAAAAGUCAUAACUGGCAAGUGACUAAGGAGGAAAAUACAUGGACCAAAACAAUGCAGAUCUAAAACAGUAUUUCUUAAUGCAGCCUUGUGGCUGCUGCUUCCCAAUAUGUUCAAUAUGGACAGUUCCAAAUACCAGAACACAAGAUUUAUUUGGAUUAUAAAUAGAUGUUGCCCUGUGCUUCAGUAUCAGAAGCACUCUAUUGUGUAAACAGAAGACUAUUGGCUUUUGUUUCUACUUUUAAAGCUUCCAUGUACUCUUUGCUGACAGCCUUUUUCACCUGUUAGAGUUGAGUCUCUCACUUGGGUAUCAACACCUCUACAGCCUGCUGAGAGGCUUCACUUGAAGCUGUUAAAAUGUCUCCUCUCAUAUGCCCUUUCCUCCAGUCUCUUGGAUGCUCUCCAGCUGGCCUCGCUACUCUGUUAGCUUUUAGUCAGCCCAGCUUAAUGAACAUGGCUUGGGUUUGGCAUUGUCUUCAUUUCUGCAUGUAUUUUUUAUCCAGAGAA
This is a long non-coding RNA of Vidua chalybeata, 1912 nucleotides long. RefSeq lists it as uncharacterized. The record is from RefSeq and is a predicted model, not a curated record. The transcript has 3 exons. Lineage: Eukaryota; Metazoa; Chordata; Aves; Passeriformes; Viduidae.